CCCUUAGACGUUCUGGGCCGCACGCGCGCUACACUGACCAGUGCAACAAGCAUCCGUCCUUGGCCGACAGGCCCGGGCAAUCUUUGAACGCUGGUCGUGAUGGGGAUAGACUUUUGCAAUUUUUGGUCUUCAACGAGGAAUUCCUAGUAAACGCAAGUCAUCAACUUGCAUUGAUUACGUCCCUGCCCUUUGUACACACCGCCCGUCGCUCCUACAGAUUGAGCAGUCCGGUGAAUACUUCGGACCGUUUGCAUAGAUGGUUCGCCAUCUUUGCGAAUGGAAAGUCGAGUGAACCUUACUGCUUAGAUGAAGGAGAAGUCGUAACA
Molecule: ribosomal RNA, 326 nt
Filed under: uncultured eukaryote
Lineage: Eukaryota
Description: partial 18S ribosomal RNA
Rfam family: Eukaryotic small subunit ribosomal RNA
Source: RNAcentral